This 440-nucleotide ribosomal RNA is filed under the name uncultured bacterium. RNAcentral describes it as "partial 16S ribosomal RNA". It matches the Rfam family "Bacterial small subunit ribosomal RNA", at positions 338 to 795 of the family's 1533-position model. The record is from RNAcentral.
CCUACGGGUGGCAGCAGUGGGGAAUAUUGCACAAUGGGGGAAACCCUGAUGCAGCGACGCCGCGUGAGUGAAGAAGUAAUUCGUUAUGUAAAGCUCUAUCAGCAGGGAAGAAAAUGACGGUACCUGAGUAAGAAGCCCCGGCUAACUACGUGCCAGCAGCCGCGGUAAUACGUAGGGGGCAAGCGUUAUCCGGAUUUACUGGGUGGAAAGGGAGCGUAGACGGCAGUGCAAGUCUGGAGUGAAAGGCGGGGGCUCAACCCACGGACUGCUCUGGAAACUGUACGGCUGGAGUGCAGGAGAGGUAAGUGGAAUUCCUAGUGGAGCGGUGAAAUGCGUAGAUAUUAGGAGGAACACCAGUGGCGAAGGCGGCUUACUGGACUGUAACUGACGUUGAGGCUCGAAAGCGUGGGGAGCAAACAGGAUUAGAUACCCCUGUAGUC